This 66-nucleotide transfer RNA is filed under the name Stigmella roborella. RNAcentral's name for it is "tRNA-Ser". The record is from RNAcentral. Lineage: Eukaryota; Metazoa; Arthropoda; Insecta; Lepidoptera; Nepticulidae.
GAAAUAUAAAAUUUAUAAUCAAGCUUCUAACUUGAUUCUUAGUGGUUAAAUUCCAUUAAUAUUUCU